This is a non-coding RNA of Armillaria luteobubalina, 89 nucleotides long. NCBI's taxonomy places the organism in Eukaryota, Fungi, Basidiomycota, Agaricomycetes, Agaricales, Physalacriaceae. The record is from the annotation of a GenBank genome assembly.
GCCUUUAUGGCGUAGUGGUAGCGCGUCGCACUUGUAUCUCAGUAAUGAGGAUUAUGCGAAGGUCACUCGUUCAAUCCGGGUUGGAGGCA